Nyctereutes procyonoides (raccoon dog) is the source of this 185-nucleotide long non-coding RNA. RefSeq lists it as uncharacterized. Lineage: Eukaryota; Metazoa; Chordata; Mammalia; Carnivora; Canidae. The transcript has 2 exons. The record is from RefSeq and is a predicted model, not a curated record.
CGUUCGGCUUCCUUGCGACGUUCCUUCAGACAACACAGAAGGAAGAACCAACCAAUGCAAAAUGAAAACAUAAGAGGCUUGUGUCCUGACCAUACCACCCAAGAAAACAACACAAUGAGAAUGACUUCAUCAAUUUUCAAAAAAAGUCUACGUGCUAAUCAAAAAAAAUAAAUCCUUACUUGCUA